ACUCAAAUGAAUUGACGGGGGCCCGCACAAGCGGCGGAGCGUGCGGUUUAAUUCGACGCGACGCGCAGAACCUUACCAGGGCUUGACAUGCUCCUGCAGAGCCGGGAAACCGGUUGGCCUUUGAGGGUGGAGCACAGGUGCUGCAUGGCUGUCGUCAGCUCGUGUCGUGAGAUGUUGGGUUAAGUCCCGCAACGAGCGCAACCCCCGUGGUCAGUUGCGGAUGUUUCUGACCAGACUGCCGGCAGCAAACCGGAGGAAGGUGGGGAUGACGUCAAGUCAGCAUGGCCCUUACGUCCUGGGCGACACGCACGCUACAAUGGCCGGGACAACGGGUUGCCAAACCGCAAGGUGGAGCCAAUCCCCCAAACCCGGUCUCAGUUGGAAUUGUGGGCUGCAACCCGCCCACAUGAACGUGGAGUCGCUAGUAACCGUGGGUCAGCAUUACCGCGGUGAAUACGUUCCCGGGCCUUGUACACACCGCCCGU
This 485-nucleotide ribosomal RNA is filed under the name uncultured bacterium. RNAcentral describes it as "partial 16S ribosomal RNA". It matches the Rfam family "Bacterial small subunit ribosomal RNA", at positions 899 to 1397 of the family's 1533-position model. The record is from RNAcentral.